GGCUUCCUGGAGGUGCACUUCCCAGCAUGGCAAAUCCUGCACAGCGUGCAUAGAACAGCUUCAGAAAUGGCAAAGGCUCCAAGGGAAAGGAGAAGGCAUGAGAAAUCCCUCAAAUCAUUUGAAGGAAGGAUUGGUUCUGCUCCAGUGAAACCCUAUGAGACCUGUAGUUAACAUUAGGGGAAGAAUUGCAGUAGAAGUUUCAUUGCACUCUGCAGGUGUGAAACCUCCCUAUGCCCACGUUUGGUUUUCUAUGUACCUCACUGGGAGUGAUAUGGGUGCACAGGUAAUGGCUUCUUUC
This is a long non-coding RNA of Neopelma chrysocephalum (saffron-crested tyrant-manakin), 298 nucleotides long. RefSeq lists it as uncharacterized. The transcript is spliced from 3 exons. The record is from RefSeq and is a predicted model, not a curated record. Lineage: Eukaryota; Metazoa; Chordata; Aves; Passeriformes; Pipridae.